AAAAAAAAAAAAAAGAGUCUUAGGCAGUCACCAGGCAGUCAUUCGUGUUCUUGUUCAUUUAUUCAUGUGUUCUUCAAACCCAUACUGUGCAUGCUAUUUGUCAGGCUCUGUGCUUCAAAUACUGAGUUGAAUCAGAUACAAUGUCUGUCUACCUGGUAUGGAGAUGGGAGUGUGUCAAUAAAUUAGUGUGGUUAGCCAAAUCUCAUAAGUACUUUGAGAAGGGGAUGAUCAUCUCCAGCUUCCUGGAGAAGGUCAUGUUUGAGCUGGACCUUGACAAAUUGGUAGGAUUUGAUCAGGCACUAGGAGCAGAGCAUGGCUCUGUGGACAGAAAGUUAUGAGCUCCAGUCCCUCUUCUUAUCACUAGUUUGACACUGGCCCUUCUGUGCCUCAGUUCCCUCAUCUGUAAAAUGGGGCUAAAAUAUUACUACCUCAUAGAAUUUGAUGAUGUCAAGCUCCUCACUGGAGGUCUUAUCUGUGUAUGGAGCCCACUAGGGGCCAAUCCCUCAGAAUACAACCUUCUCGUGCCUGGACCCCUGAGGAAUUCUGUUAGAGACAGAUGCCCCCCAAAUCUGGGACAUGCUGAUUUCCCUGGUUACUGGAAAAGUUCCAGGGUGCUUACCUGGUAAGUGGAAGGCCUGAGGAAACCUAUAGCUUCAACCACAUAUGAUAACUCGGUGCCAGGUCCCCAACCUGGGUCGUAAGGAACUAGGGGAAGAGAUAGCCUGGUCCAUAUCCCAACCUAAAUGUCUAAGUUCGUGCGUGCGCGUGUGCGUGCGUGUGUGUGUGUGUGUGUCCUCACCAACCCGGGUUUGUAAGGAACUAGGGGAAGAGAUAGGAGAUAGCCUGGUCCAUAUCCCAGCCUAAAUGUCUAAGUUCGUGUGUGUGUGUGUGUGUGUGUGUGCGUGUGUGUGUGUGCGUGCGUGUGUGUGUGUGUGUCCUCACCAACCUGGGUUGUAAGGAACUAGGGGAAGAGAUAGGAGAUAGCCUGGUCCAUAUCCCAGCCUAAAUGUCUUAAGUUCUUGUGUGUAACUGUCUUCAUUAGUGGUAAGGACUAUGCAGAGGUGGCAAAGCCUGGUGUCAUAAAUUCAGCCUCAACACAUUCAAAUAUGUUAUCACACUUGUCUUAGUGUAAUCUGUAUUUUGCUUUUUUGCUUUUUAAAAAUUAAAUCAGGGUUAGGGAAGUUGCUCAGUAGUAGAGUGAAUGUUUAGGGUGUGAGGAGCCCUGAGUUUGAUCCUAGCACCCCCUAGAAGAAGUUCUAAUGAUACAAUUUUCUUUAAAAAAUUGGAUUGUUAGAGAUAAAAGUAGCCUCAUUUGACUGCUUACCACUCUCACCUGUUCUUUUACUUUAAACACCUGUUUAUUGUACUUUAUUCUAGACUUUAAUAUUCAUACACAGGUCGCUUCUCUAAAAGUAUUGUGUGUAAUGCAAAUGCUACUUUGGAGUUGUUCACAAAAUUGCUUUCUUUGCUUAAUAAUGUUUUUGAGACUUAUGCAUGUUAAGAUCAAUGCAUCCUCUUCAUUCAUGUGUCGUUUCUAUAAUGUGACAAUAUCAUGUUACCAUUUCUCUUGUGGAUAUUGACUAUUUUCAAUUUCCUAUUACAAAGUACUACAUAGGAGCAGCCCUAUAUCUCUGAAUUUGUGUAUGUAUGAAAGCUUACCUAGGAUUGAUUCCUAGAAGUGAAAUUUGCAUAGUCAUAGGAUAUUUAUAUAUUGGUUCCUAAUAGAUAUUUCCAAAUUACCCUUCUGUCCUAUUUACUCAGUAUUUUCCCCAAGAUGACCCAAAGUCUAACAGUAUCCAUCAACAUCCAUUUUUUUCUAAAGUAGUGACAUCCAUGAAAUCAAGGAUUUGAUGUGCUAAUUAUGUGUUUUCUAAUACAUACUAAAGAAUAUAGCUAAACAAAAGAAGUUUUUUUGCAGUCAGCCAAAGAAGUCACAUGAAGCCAGUGGUACAUGUGCCAUAAUUUGGCAAAUGCUGGCACAGUUUGGGCAACAGAU
This is a long non-coding RNA of Dipodomys spectabilis (banner-tailed kangaroo rat), 1996 nucleotides long. RefSeq lists it as uncharacterized. The transcript is spliced from 3 exons. The record is from RefSeq and is a predicted model, not a curated record. Lineage: Eukaryota; Metazoa; Chordata; Mammalia; Rodentia; Heteromyidae.